CCUACGGGAGGCAGCAGUGAGGAAUAUUGGUCAAUGGACGGAAGUCUGAACCAGCCAUGCCGCGUGCAGGAAGACGGCUCUAUGAGUUGUAAACUGCUUUUGUACAAGGGUAAACCUGAAUACGUGUAUUCAGCUGAAAGUACUGUACGAAUAAGGAUCGGCUAACUCCGUGCCAGCAGCCGCGGUAUUACGGAGGAUCCAAGCGUUAUCCGGAUUUAUUGGGUUUAAAGGGUGCGUAGGCGGAUGUAUAAGUUAGAGGUGAAAUGUCCGGGCUUAACUCGGGAACUGCCCCUAAUACUGUUGGUCUAGAGAGUAGAUGCGGUAGGCGGAAUGUAUGGUGUAGCGGUGAAAUGCUUAGAGAUCAUACAGAACACCGAUUGCGAAGGCAGCUUACCAAUCUAUAUCUGACGUUGAGGCACGAAAGCGUGGGGAGCAAACAGGAUUAGAUACCCUGGUAGUC
Molecule: ribosomal RNA, 460 nt
Filed under: uncultured bacterium
Lineage: Bacteria
Description: partial 16S ribosomal RNA
Rfam family: Bacterial small subunit ribosomal RNA
Source: RNAcentral